GUAUAGAACCUACCUUAUAUUGGGGGAUAGCCCAGAGAAAUUUGGAUUAAUACCCCAUAGUAUGCUGAAGUGGCAUCCUUUAGUAUUAAAGAUUUAUCGAUAUAAGAUGGCUAUGCGUUCUAUUAGCUAGUUGGUAUGGUAACGGCAUACCAAGGCUACGAUAGAUAGGGGUCCUGAGAGGGAGAUCCCCCACACUGGUACUGAGACACGGACCAGACUCCUACGGGAGGCAGCAGUGAGGAAUAUUGGACAAUGGAGGCAACUCUGAUCCAGCCAUGCCGCGUGCAGGAAGACUGCCCUAUGGGUUGUAAACUGCUUUUAUAGAGGAAGAAACCCCCCGACGAGUCGGGUCUGACGGUACUCUACGAAUAAGGAUCGGCUAACUCCGUGCCAGCAGCCGCGGUAAUACGGAGGAUCCAAGCGUUAUCCGGAAUCAUUGGGUUUAAAGGGUCCGUAGCGGAUUUGUAAGUCAGUGGUGAAAGUUUGCGGCUCAACCGUAAAAUUGCCAUUGAUACUGCAAGUCUUGAAUCAUUGUGAAGUGGUUAGAAUAUGUAGUGUAGCGGUGAAAUGCAUAGAUAUUACAUAGAAUACCGAUUGCGAAGGAGAUCACUAACAAUGUAUUGACGCUAAGGGACG
RNAcentral lists this ribosomal RNA (636 nucleotides) under uncultured bacterium. RNAcentral describes it as "bacterial SSU rRNA". It matches the Rfam family "Bacterial small subunit ribosomal RNA", at positions 117 to 755 of the family's 1533-position model. The record is from RNAcentral.